This is a long non-coding RNA of Alligator mississippiensis (American alligator), 560 nucleotides long. RefSeq lists it as uncharacterized. The transcript has 2 exons. Lineage: Eukaryota; Metazoa; Chordata; Crocodylia; Alligatoridae. The record is from RefSeq and is a predicted model, not a curated record.
GGGGGAGGGACUCUCGGGAGCCUGGCUGUGAGGGGGCCGCUCGCCGGGGCGGAGGCGGUGCCGGGCUGGACACAGGAUCUUGCCGUUCUAUGCCCACCCGUUUCAGACGUCACUUCCGCGCUGGAAGGGGCGCGGGGUGGGCGGUGGAGCUGAAGGUCUGCGAGGGCCGCCGGCCCUGGGCCUUCAGGGUGGGUUUGCGGCCCCUGCGUACUUUCUGUUGCUCAGCCUCUGCUUUGGCGGCGUUGCCAGGUCUUAAAUACGGAAUUCUCAUAUUGGAAGCUCAAAUGAUCGAAUUAUGCGAAAAACUCACACACGCGAAAAAAAAAAAGGCAAGCACGGUGCUGAGAGUGAGCUUCUGCCUCCUGUGGGCUCAGAUCAAGUGGGGACAUCCGCAUCCCAAGACCUCUCAGCUCACGCCUGCACGUAGGACACCUGCCGAUGGAUUUGGGAGUAUCUGCAGCCCCAGGGCAAGAGCCUGGUCCGAAGGAUGCUUGCGGGUUGUAGCGCUGUACGUGGUGUUUAGAAUGACCGAGUUCUGCCUGCCCAAUGGGUGUCAUUUC